RNAcentral lists this ribosomal RNA (433 nucleotides) under uncultured bacterium. RNAcentral's name for it is "partial 16S ribosomal RNA". It matches the Rfam family "Bacterial small subunit ribosomal RNA", at positions 31 to 507 of the family's 1533-position model. The record is from RNAcentral.
AAAGAAAGAGGGAGGUAUGUAUAACACAUGCAAGUCGAACGAGACCUUCGGGUCUAGUGGCGCACGGGUGCGUAACGCGUGGGAACCUGCCCUUAGGUUCGGAAUAACUCCCCGAAAGGGGUGCUAAUACCGGAUAAUGUCUUCGGACCAAAGAUUUAUCGCCUUUGGAUGGGCCCGCGUUGGAUUAGCUAGUUGGUAGGGUAAAAGCCUACCAAGGCGACGAUCCAUAGCUGGUCUGAGAGGAUGAUCAGCCACACUGGGACUGAGACACGGCCCAGACUCCUACGGGAGGCAGCAGUGGGGAAUAUUGGACAAUGGGCGAAAGCCUGAUCCAGCAAUGCCGCGUGAGUGAUGAAGGCCUUAGGGUUGUAAAGCUCUUUUACCCGGGAUGAUAAUGACAGUACCGGGAGAAUAAGCUCCGGCUAACUCCGUG